Molecule: ribosomal RNA, 427 nt
Filed under: uncultured prokaryote
Description: bacterial SSU rRNA
Rfam family: Bacterial small subunit ribosomal RNA
Source: RNAcentral
UGGGGAAUUUUCCGCAAUGGGCGAAAGCCUGACGGAGCAAGACCGCGUGAGGGAGGAAGGCCCUUGGGUUGUAAACCUCUUUUCUCAGGGAAGAAGAAAGUGACGGUACCUGAGGAAUCAGCCUCGGCUAACUCCGUGCCAGCAGCCGCGGUAAUACGGAGGGUCCAAGCGUUGUCCGAAAUUACUGGGUGUAAAGGGUGUGCAGGCGGAACGGUAAGUCAGAGGUGAAAGCCCGCAGCUUAACUGCGGAAUGGCCUUUGAUACUGCCGUUCUUGAGUCCCGGAGAAGCUAUCGGAAUUCGUGGUGUAGCGGUGAAAUGCGUAGAUAUCACGAGGAACACCAGAAGCGUAAGCGGAUGGCUAGACGGUGACUGACGCUCAGGCACGAAAGCGUGGGGAGCAAACAGGAUUAGAUACCCGUGUAGUCC